UUUCUAUCCUAAAUUUCUCAUGUUCUUCUUAUUUUUUGUUGAAAGUAUUUUUUAUUUAUAAAAGGAUUUCUUUUUUGUUGUAUAUUUUUAUACUGGGGAAGUUAUUUUCUUUGAAAUAAAAGACAAGUUAAGGACAGUGGGUGGAAGAAAAUAGAAAUAAAAGGGAUUUAACGGGAGAAGGGAGGGUGCAGAGGAAGUGAAGUCUGUGGAAGAAGAGAAAGAGAGAAGGGUGCGAAAAGAAAAAAUAAGGAGUUUAAAAGAGAGUUAUAAAUAACAAAGCCCACUUUAGACGUGCUGAAGCUUUGUGUGGGGGCAAAAACUUGUUUAAGUCCCAAGAAACAUGUUUUUGUUUCAUUGUUUAAUUUAUAAAUAAGUCACUUUUUGUAACAAAAAAAAAAGGAAAUAUG
This 407-nucleotide long non-coding RNA is filed under the name Vigna radiata. Its description in RNAcentral is "long non-coding RNA (VRAD_LNC002819)". Lineage: Eukaryota; Viridiplantae; Streptophyta; Magnoliopsida; Fabales; Fabaceae. The record is from RNAcentral.